Molecule: non-coding RNA, 24 nt
Filed under: Rattus norvegicus (Norway rat)
Lineage: Eukaryota; Metazoa; Chordata; Mammalia; Rodentia; Muridae
Source: RNAcentral
UGGACUGGUGAACAUGAUGUGCCA